CAGAAAGUAGUUUAAGUAAAUAAUAAUUUUGGAGAUUAUAGUUGAUUGAUAAUCCUUUCUGA
RNAcentral lists this transfer RNA (62 nucleotides) under Metacrangonyx longicaudus. Its description in RNAcentral is "transfer RNA Proline". The record is from RNAcentral. Lineage: Eukaryota; Metazoa; Arthropoda; Malacostraca; Amphipoda; Metacrangonyctidae.